UUAGACGUCCCUUUCUAUCUUGUUAUACGUUUAUUGUUUCUAUCAUGAUAUUGGAUUAACGCAGUCAUUAUUAUGUGUAGAUAAAUCAAACAUAAAGUCAAAGGACGC
RNAcentral lists this unclassified non-coding RNA (108 nucleotides) under Populus trichocarpa (black cottonwood). RNAcentral's name for it is "precursor microRNA MIR180". Lineage: Eukaryota; Viridiplantae; Streptophyta; Magnoliopsida; Malpighiales; Salicaceae. The record is from RNAcentral.